Thalassophryne amazonica is the source of this 2019-nucleotide long non-coding RNA. RefSeq lists it as uncharacterized. The record is from RefSeq and is a predicted model, not a curated record. Lineage: Eukaryota; Metazoa; Chordata; Actinopteri; Batrachoidiformes; Batrachoididae. The transcript is spliced from 5 exons.
AGGCGGUUCAUCCAGGCCCGAGGCGUCGGCUACAUCCGAGGCUAACAGCGGCUACAUCCGCGGCUAGCAGCGGUUACAUCCGGGGCUGGCAGCGGAAGCAUCGGUGGAGGAACCUUCAUCCAGGCCCGAGGCAUCGGUGGCGGGGAUACAUCCAGGCCCAAGGCGUCGGCUACAUCCGCGGCUAGCAGCGGCUACGUCCGCGGCUAGCAGCGGCUACGUCCGCGGCUAGCGGCGGCGGCAACCGAGGCCGGCGGCGGUAACAUCUGAGGCCGCCUACGGCUACAUUCCUGGCUGAUGGCGGCUACAUCCGUGGCUAGCAGCGGCUAUGACCGAGGCUGGGGGCGGCUGUGAACGAGGUUAGCAACGUGGAGGGUUUGUACGCGGCGACUGGACCUGUGGUGGUGGAGGUUACGGAUUCCACACACUCUCACCAUGAUUGGCCAACAUAAGAGGAAAUUUGAGGAGCUGACUGAGGAUCAAGGUUAUUCUUCACCACCCACUUUGGAUUCCAGUCCCAACAACCCAGCAAUGCCCAGUCUUAAGAGGACCAAGAAGACACAUCAAACCAGGGUGGCCUUUGGCCAGGUGACAAUGUUCCUCUUCAGUUGGUGUCAGGACUUCACUGCAAUUCCGUCUGAGGGAGGCUGCACCCUGGGAAUGAUGCCGCACCACAAUGUCCAACAAACAUACACAGUUGACCAUUAUGACAAGAAGCAGGAUUACAGGCGGAGGAAAAUACUCUGGUAGGGACUCACGAGAAUCGAGGAACGGGCGUCUGCCAGAGGUGAAAGAACACCAACAGGGCGGGUUUGCUGAGCAUGCUCUGAAGAUGAAGGCUGGAUACUGGGAGAAACGCUUUUUUUCCCAGAGAUACAAAUCGGAGAGACGUUAUUCUCUGCUUAAGCAGCUGGUAUCGAAUUCAUCGACAGGGAGGAGGAGACACAGCUGCAGGACCUGAGGAGCUCUAGGAGGAACGUUGGAUGUGACUGCAAGGGCCACUGCGAUCCUCUGCCCUGCAGCUGCAGUCUGGCUGGCAUCAAAUGUCACGCAAAACAUACCGCAUUGGUAUGCAACUGCACCGAAGACUGCUGUAGGAACAUCCAGGGUCGCACCCCGUCCAAUAAGCUCGGGGUGCGAGCCCAUUACCAGCGCACCAUAAUGAGACUGAAGUCAGAGAGGAGGACGCUCUGAAGACACCAGACUGAUCCCUACAGCCACCCUGGAACAACUGAGACUUUAAAUUUGUUUUUUUAUUAUUCUUUUGUGAAUUCAAACAUGUUAAAAUCAAAACAACAAUUUAAAAAAAAAAUCAAUGAAUACAAGUUUUUAUUUUCAAAAAACUUUUUUGGUUUUCUGCUUCCGUUGCUUUUCACUUUAACUCAAAAACGAUCUCAACUAACAAAUAAGACUUCAGGCAAAACAAACAAAAGCAUUUUGUUCAUAAUUUCAGAAUCUUCACUAUGUUGCAUCUUUUUUAAUUAAUUUCUUGAGGUGGACAUUUUCUGGUUCUUAUUUUAAUUAUUUCAUGAACUGAUGCCUUUGACUGUAACACUGUGAUUUGCUGGACAACAUGGAUGUGAGCCUCUCUUCAGAGUCGGACCUGGAAUUCUUCCAUGGAUUUCCAUAUCUGGGCCCAAACUCGUUCAAGGUGUCCUAACGCAUGGACAACUGUUUUCAGGUUCAGUUGCUGAGCCCAGCGUCCCAUCAGAUGGUGUCCCCCUGGACGUGCUUCUUGGAGUCAUUAAUUUUCACUUUCAGAAUCGACCCCAGAACCUCCUUCUGCUUUUACAGGCAAUCAGUUGUUGGAAGAAGCUGAGAAAUUGUCUUUGAUGAAAAUUUGUGGACAGUCUGACAAAACAGAAAUGGUUCAAAGUACGGAGGGGGACUGCAUGUGGACAUAAGAUAUCAGUGUCCACAUGUUGGAUUUGGAGGAAGCUGUGAUUUUUUUUUUUUCCAGGUUUGCAUGAUGUUCAUCUCAGGGGAUUUAUUUAUUUUCUAUUCUGGCUCAGUCCAGUCAAG